RNAcentral lists this transfer RNA (74 nucleotides) under Desulfosporosinus sp. RNAcentral's name for it is "tRNA-Thr". Lineage: Bacteria; Bacillati; Bacillota; Clostridia; Eubacteriales; Desulfitobacteriaceae. The record is from RNAcentral.
GCCUUUCUUCACAAAUGGUUUUUCCCUCACUCGUAAUGAGCAGGUCGUCGGUUCGAUUCCGACCAUUGGCUCCA